Molecule: ribosomal RNA, 254 nt
Filed under: uncultured bacterium
Lineage: Bacteria
Description: partial 16S ribosomal RNA
Rfam family: Bacterial small subunit ribosomal RNA
Source: RNAcentral
UACGUAGGGUGCGAGCGUUAAUCGGAAUUACUGGGCGUAAAGCGUGCGCAGGCGGUUCGUUGUGUCGGCGGUGAAAGCCCCGGGCUUAACCCUGGGAAGUGGCCGUUGAAACUGGCGAACUGGAGUGUGGCAGAGGGGGGUGGAAUUCCGCGUGUAGCAGUGAAAUGCGUAGAGAUGUGGAGGAACACCGAUGGCGAAGGCAGCCCCCUGGGUUAACACUGACGCUCAGGCACGAAAGCGUGGGAGCAAACAGG